UCUAAUCAUAGCUGAGAAAGAAACCAACCGGGAUUGCCUUAGUAACGGCGAGUGAAGCGGCAAAAGCUCAAAUUUGAAAUCUGGUACCUUCGGUGCCCGAGUUGUAAUUUGGAGAGGGCAACUUUGGGGCCGUUCCUUGUCUAUGUUCCUUGGAACAGGACGUCAUAGAGGGUGAGAAUCCCGUGUGGCGAGGAGUGCGGUUCUUUGUAAAGUGCCUUCGAAGAGUCGAGUUGUUUGGGAAUGCAGCUCUAAGUGGGUGGUAAAUUCCAUCUAAAGCUAAAUAUUGGCGAGAGACCGAUAGCGAACAAGUACAGUGAUGGAAAGAUGAAAAGAACUUUGAAAAGAGAGUGAAAAAGUACGUGAAAUUGUUGAAAGGGAAGGGCAUUUGAUCAGACAUGGUGUUUUGUGCCCUCUGCUCCUUGUGGGUAGGGGAAUCUCGCAUUUCACUGGGCCAGCAUCAGUUUUGGUGGCAGGAUAAAUCCAUAGGAAUGUAGCUUGCCUCGGUAAGUAUUAUAGCCUGUGGGAAUACUGCCAGCUGGGACUGAGGACUGCGACGUAAGUCAAGGAUGCUGGCAUAUGGUAUUUGCGCCGUCUGAACACGAAACAA
This 607-nucleotide ribosomal RNA is filed under the name Saccharomyces cerevisiae (brewer's yeast). RNAcentral's name for it is "eukaryotic LSU rRNA". It matches the Rfam family "Eukaryotic large subunit ribosomal RNA", at positions 41 to 669 of the family's 3401-position model. Lineage: Eukaryota; Fungi; Ascomycota; Saccharomycetes; Saccharomycetales; Saccharomycetaceae. The record is from RNAcentral.